This 29-nucleotide non-coding RNA is filed under the name Rattus norvegicus (Norway rat). Lineage: Eukaryota; Metazoa; Chordata; Mammalia; Rodentia; Muridae. The record is from RNAcentral.
UGGCCAGAGACGAGAGUGUCCUUGACGAC